This 365-nucleotide ribosomal RNA is filed under the name uncultured eukaryote. Its description in RNAcentral is "partial 18S ribosomal RNA". It matches the Rfam family "Eukaryotic small subunit ribosomal RNA", at positions 592 to 976 of the family's 1831-position model. The record is from RNAcentral.
CAAUAGCGUAUAUUUAGGUUGUUGCAGUUAAAAAGCUCGUAGUCGGAUUUUGGCUGAGAACGAUCGGUCCGCCGUUAGGUGUGCACUGAUUGGUCUCAGCUUCCUGGUGAGGAGGUGUGCUUCACGGCCACUUAGUCACCGUGGUUACUUUGAAAAAAUUAGAGUGUUCAAAGCGGGCUUACGCUUGAAUAUAUUAGCAUGGAAUAACACCAUAGGACUCCUGUCCUAUUUCGUUGGUCUCGGGACGGGAGUAAUGAUUAAGAGGAACAGUUGGGGGCAUUCGUAUUUCAUUGUCAGAGGUGAAAUUCUUGGAUUUAUGAAAGACGAACUUCUGCGAAAGCAUUUGCCAAGGAUGUUUUCAUUGA